UUAUAAAUGGCAACACGAAUCCAAUAUAAAAACAUUGCCCAGUUUCGUAACGAAUCCGUAAUCUAUUGCCCUAGUGUGAAUAAAACAACGUCAGAAUGAAAAACUAAAUAAUUGUUAUAUUGUAUAGGUAAAAAGCUAGAAACUAAUAAUGGUACAUGAAAAAAUUUUAAGUUAUUCUGCUUUUUGUGGUAACGAAACAUAUGCUAUAACGCCAGAGAUGUUUUGACAGCUCGAUCGCUAAAAUCUUGUGGCAAUUAAUUCCACCGG
This is a long non-coding RNA of Xenia sp. Carnegie-2017, 267 nucleotides long. RefSeq lists it as uncharacterized. Lineage: Eukaryota; Metazoa; Cnidaria; Anthozoa; Malacalcyonacea; Xeniidae. The record is from RefSeq and is a predicted model, not a curated record. The transcript is spliced from 3 exons.